RNAcentral lists this ribosomal RNA (451 nucleotides) under uncultured organism. RNAcentral describes it as "partial 16S ribosomal RNA". It matches the Rfam family "Bacterial small subunit ribosomal RNA", at positions 332 to 799 of the family's 1533-position model. The record is from RNAcentral.
UACACUCCUACGGGAGGCAGCAGUGGGGAAUCUUGCGCAAUGGGCGAAAGCCUGACGCAGCCAUGCCGCGUGAAUGAUGAAGGUCUUAGGAUUGUAAAAUUCUUUCACCGGGGACGAUAAUGACGGUACCCGGAGAAGAAGCCCCGGCUAACUUCGUGCCAGCAGCCGCGGUAAUACGAAGGGGGCUAGCGUUGCUCGGAAUUACUGGGCGUAAAGGGAGCGUAGGCGGACAUUUAAGUCAGGGGUGAAAUCCCGGGGCUCAACCUCGGAAUUGCCUUUGAUACUGGGUGUCUUGAGUAUGAGAGAGGUGUGUGGAACUCCGAGUGUAGAGGUGAAAUUCGUAGAUAUUCGGAAGAACACCAGUGGCGAAGGCGACACACUGGCUCAUUACUGACGCUGAGGCUCGAAAGCGUGGGGAGCAAACAGGAUUAGAUACCCCUGUAGUCCCAUG